CUACCAGACUCCUACGGGAGGCAGCAGUAGGGAAUCUUCGGCAAUGGACGAAAGUCUGACCGAGCAACGCCGCGUGAGUGAAGAAGGUUUUCGGAUCGUAAAACUCUGUUGGUAGAGAAGAACGUUGGUGAGAGUGGAAAGCUCAUCAAGUGACGGUAACUACCCAGAAAGGGACGGCUAACUACGUGCCAGCAGCCGCGGUCAUACGUAGGAUCCGAGCAUUAUCCGGAGUGACUGGGUGUAAAGAGUUGCGUAGGUGGCAUAGUAAGUAGCUAGUGAAAUCUGGUGGCUCAACCAUUCAGACUAUUAGCUAAACUGCUAAGCUCGAGACCGUUAGGGGUAACUGGAAUUUCUAGUGUAGGAGUGAAAUCCGUAGAUAUUAGAAGGAACACCGAUAGCGUAGGCAGGUUACUGGGACGGUUCUGACACUAAGGCACGAAAGCGUAGGGAGCAAACGGGAUUAGAUACCCUCGUAUU
RNAcentral lists this ribosomal RNA (477 nucleotides) under uncultured bacterium. Its description in RNAcentral is "bacterial SSU rRNA". It matches the Rfam family "Bacterial small subunit ribosomal RNA", at positions 328 to 794 of the family's 1533-position model. The record is from RNAcentral.